Molecule: ribosomal RNA, 668 nt
Filed under: uncultured spirochete
Lineage: Bacteria; Pseudomonadati; Spirochaetota; Spirochaetia; Spirochaetales
Description: bacterial SSU rRNA
Rfam family: Bacterial small subunit ribosomal RNA
Source: RNAcentral
CGGGUGAGUAAGACGUGGGUGAUCUGUCCCGGUCACGGGGAUAGCCUGUGGAAACAUGGGGUAAUACCGGAUAAGCUCUGCGGGGUAAAGGCCGCGGAGGAAAGGCGCGUAUGCGCCGGAGAGGGAUGAGCCUGCGGUCCAUUAGCUUGUUGGCAGGGUAAGAGCCUACCAAGGCGACGAUGGAUAGCCGGCCUGAGAGGGUGAACGGCCACACUGGGACUGAGAUACGGCCCAGACUCCUACGGGAGGCAGCAGCUAAGAAUCUUCCGCAAUGGGCGAAAGCCUGACGGAGCGACGCCGCGUGGACGAAGAAGGCCGAAAGGUUGUAAAGUUCUUUUCUUUGCGAAGAAUAAGGGGAGGAGGGAAUGCCUUUCUGAUGACGUUAGCGAAGGAAUAAGCCCCGGCUAAUUACGUGCCAGCAGCCGCGGUAAUACGUAAGGGGCGAGCGUUGUUCGGAAUUAUUGGGUGUAAAGGGCGCGCAGGCGGCUCUGAAAGUCCGGUGUGAAAGGCCGCAGCUUAACUGCGGUUGUGCGCUGGAAACUACAGGGCUUGAGUGCAGGAGGGGGAGCUGGAAUUCCAGGUGUAGGGGUGAAAUCUGUAGAUAUCUGGAAGAACACCGGUGGCGAAGGCGAGCUCCUUGCCAUGGACUGACGCUGAGGCGCGAAAGC